GCUGAACUCAUAAGUCACUCAUCUGCUCAAAGCCUCCCAGUGGCUUCUCAUCUCACAGACCUCACCACAAUGUUCCAUUGGCCAGUGCAAGAGAAACCAGGAUGCUUCCUCAUACUGCACAUCUUUAUCUGAGAACCAAAGGACAAAUAUGGGUGUCACAUGCCAGCUCCUUCUACCUCCUUCUGAAACCAGAGGACUGGAUUGGAACCAACAGAG
Molecule: long non-coding RNA, 216 nt
Filed under: Homo sapiens (human)
Lineage: Eukaryota; Metazoa; Chordata; Mammalia; Primates; Hominidae
Description: HSALNT0296335
Source: RNAcentral